RNAcentral lists this ribosomal RNA (482 nucleotides) under uncultured bacterium. Its description in RNAcentral is "partial 16S ribosomal RNA". It matches the Rfam family "Bacterial small subunit ribosomal RNA", at positions 28 to 507 of the family's 1533-position model. The record is from RNAcentral.
GACGAACGCUGGCGGCGUGCUUAACACAUGCGAGUCGAACGAUGAAGAAGAGAAACGCGAACUUCGGUUCAAAUUUCACUUCGGAUUAGUGGCAGACGGGUGAGUAACGCGUGAGCAACCUACCUCUUACAAAGGGAUAGCCUCGGGAAACCGUGAUUAAUACCAUAUGACACAUUCAUAAGGCAUCUUAAGAAUGUUAAAGCUACGGCGGUAAGAGAUGGGCUCGCGUCCCAUUAGCUAGUUGGUGAGGUAACGGCCCACCAAGGCGACGAUGGGUAACCGGCCUGAGAGGGUGAACGGUCACAUUGGAACUGUGACACGGUCCAAACUCCUACGGGAGGCAGCAGUGGGGAAUAUUGCACAAUGGAGGGAACUCUGAUGCAGCGACGCCGCGUGAGCGAUGAAGGAAUUCGUUUCGUAAAGCUCUGUUCUAUGGGAAGAAAAGGACUGUACCAUAGGAGAAAGCCCCGGCUAAAUACGUG